AUGCAAGUCGAGCGAGAACCGGGGCUUCGGCCCCGGGGAAAGCGGCGAACGGGUGAGUAACACGUUGAGUCAUCCACCCUCGGUACCGGGAUAGCCCGGGGAAACCCGGAUUAAUACCGGAUGGCCCGUCUGCCCUUCGGGGCGGCCGGAAAAGGUAGCUUCGGCCUCCGACCGAGGACGAGCUCGCGGCGGAUUAGCUUGUUGGUGGGGUAACGGCCCACCAAGGCGACGAUCCGUAGCUGGUCUGAGAGGACGAUCAGCCACACUGGGACUGAGACACGGCCCAGACUCCUACGGGAGGCAGCAGUGGGGAAUCUUGCGCAAUGGGCGAAAGCCUGACGCAGCGACGCCGCGUGCGGGAAGAAGGCCUUCGGGUUGUAAACCGCUUUCAGGAGGGACGAAGCCACUCGGGUUAAUAGCCCAGAGGGUGACGGUACCUCCAGAAGAAGCCCCGGCUAACUACGUGCCAGCAGCCGCGGUAAUACGUAGGGGGCAAGCGUUGUCCGGAUUUAUUGGGCGUAAAGAGCGUGUAGGCGGCCAUGCAGGUCCGCUGUGAAAACUCGAGGCUCAACCUCGAGACGUCGGUGGAAACCGCAUGGCUAGAGUCCGGA
RNAcentral lists this ribosomal RNA (611 nucleotides) under uncultured soil bacterium. RNAcentral's name for it is "bacterial SSU rRNA". It matches the Rfam family "Bacterial small subunit ribosomal RNA", at positions 55 to 652 of the family's 1533-position model. The record is from RNAcentral.